CGCACAUAUUUGGAGUAAGGUGCCUUGCCGCUGGAGGCAGCAACGCAAUGCGCAGCGCACUAUGUUGUGAAUGAGGGAUGGGAUGACGUCAGUGCGCGAAUGUCAACAAUGUAGCGAUUGAGAGUAGGCGUUUCAUUCGAGUGUAACAAACAGAGGAGACGGAGCCGCACGCUGUAGAGAUCAUCAUCACACAUUUACAAACAUACACACAUUUUUAUAAACACUUUUACAACCAUAAACGUGCUUUAUCCCUCCUAAAGAAAAAGAAAUAUUGAAAGAGUGCACCGCAAAACGUGAUCUCCCUGCAGCCCGGGGGCUUUAGGAGUCUGCAAGGAAGUCAUCAUGUGAAAAAUAUAUUUAUAUUUGCUAAACGGACAAAAGGGCUGGAUCACAAGGAAAAAAAGCUAGGCUGAAGGAAAGGAAGUAUGGCUGAGGUUUACAGUCAAUGAAGUCCGAGGGGCGUGUGUUAGCGUGACAGAGGUGGAGCUUACUCCACACAGAGAGACGUUUCUCUGUUAGGAGGCCUGUGCUGUCGACCCUGAAAACCCAGCCGAAAACUGUUGCUGGCGCUGGACCACAACAUGCAUCUCAGCGCAUGCUAACACUCGGAGCUGUCAUUGUCACCUCCCGUCAGAGCAGUCAAACAAUGGAACAGACCACUGGUGUGAGCGGUAUGUCCGUGGAUGAGAAGUCUGAAGCUCCCAUGUACGUGUAUGAGUCGACGGUGCACUGUACCAACAUCCUGCUGGGUCUGAAUGAGCAGCGGAAGCAGGGCCUGCUCUGUGAUGUGACCGUGCUGGUGGAGGGGAAGGAGUUCCGCGCACACAGGGCUGUCCUAGCAGCCUGCAGCGAGUACUUCCUACAGGGGUUCGUCACCCAAAGUGACAAUGAACUGGUUCUCAGCAUGCCAGAGGAGGUAUGGAUAAACACACUAUUAUCAUUAUUAUCAUGCACAUUAAUGCUCUAGUAAAUUACUGAGAGGUUGCCAGGUCACUGGUGGAUACACCACCAUUCAAAAGUU
Molecule: long non-coding RNA, 1021 nt
Organism: Cyprinus carpio (common carp)
Lineage: Eukaryota; Metazoa; Chordata; Actinopteri; Cypriniformes; Cyprinidae
Exons: 3
Source: RefSeq, a predicted model, not a curated record